Molecule: ribosomal RNA, 383 nt
Filed under: uncultured archaeon
Lineage: Archaea
Description: bacterial SSU rRNA
Rfam family: Archaeal small subunit ribosomal RNA
Source: RNAcentral
UUUCCGGUUGAUCCUGCCGGAACCUACUGCUAUCGGGGUGGGACUAAGACAUGCGAGUCGAGCGUCUCUAGCUAUGUUGAGACGCGGCAGACGGCUCAGUAACACGUGGCUAACCUACCCUCAGGACGGGGACAAACCCGGGAAACUGGGGCUAAUACCCGAUAGGUGAAGAAACCUGGAAUGGUUUUUCAUCCAAUGGACUGUGAAAACAUGCUUUCAUUGUUGCCUGGGGAUGGGGCCGCGUCCGAUCAGGUUGUUGGUGAGGUAAUGGCUCACCAAGCCUUUAACCGGUACGGGCCGUGAGAGCGGUAGCCCGGAGAUGGGUACUGAGACAAGGACCCAGGCCCUACGGGGCGCAGCAGUCGCGAAAACUCCGCAAUGCA